Molecule: long non-coding RNA, 1923 nt
Organism: Rattus norvegicus (Norway rat)
Lineage: Eukaryota; Metazoa; Chordata; Mammalia; Rodentia; Muridae
Source: RefSeq, a predicted model, not a curated record
GAUCAGAAUUUUCAUGCCAUUUUACCCAUAGGCAAGGAAUGGGAGGAGAUUAAUCACAACCAAGCUAGCUGCGCCAUAAUCAAAUCAAAAUUAAAGCUGGUUAAUUGAUAAUUAGUAAAAUCUAAUAUAAAUCCUUCAAAACAAGGGAUGCUCGUGGAGAGUCUACUCCAUGUGACAGCUGUUUGUCGGCCACUUUGUCGCUCUAGACCCUGAAAUGUAAGCAAGAGUGAAGGCUCAGAGAUUACUGAAGAAAAAUACAGCUUUCCUCUCCUCAGGGCCCAUCACAGAACACAAGAGCAUCUGAAGUUACGAAUGAGGGAUGAACAGUCAUUACCACAGAGACCAUGCUUAGCAAUCAGAGAAAGUUUACAUUAUCCAGAGAUACUCCCAAGGAACGGAUCAUAGAAUGUGCAGCCUCUGACCACAUUAUCGUGGUGUCUUCUAGAAGAGUGUCACGGACCGCUGACUGUUUCCUUUUCCCCAUCUGGUCUCCGCAUCACUCACAGCGUGCCUCCUGCCUUCCCUGAUCUUCCAGGCUGAUGUAUAGCCUUCCUGGGAUGAGUAAAAUGUCAUCAUGUGUGAGCCAAUGUGCUACAAUAUCUGAGAGAAGGGAACGGUAGAAGAAAGAGCUGUGAACUCUUUUGGCUUUGUCUUAUAAACAGAAAUCUGGGUACAAUGUUUUGACCUAUUCUUAGAGGGAUAAUUAUAUCUUAUAUCAAAAAGUCAAUUGUCUUCUUUUGCUUACUUGUGCGUGACCCAUCCACAACUCUAGUGCUUUAAUUUAAUUUCAUAUAAUUAAGGUGGAAACAUACAUUUAUCUUUAAGUCAUAAAAAGGUUUAAAAACCUUUUUUAUGUGGUGAAUUAAAACAUUACUUUUCACAAUUUUGUUAACAUUAAAUAUGUUAUUGAAUGAAUAGUUCUGUGUUCCUCAAAGGUUUAAGAAACCAUUUAGGACUGAGGACAAUUGUUUAGCAAUUUACCAGUCUAAGAUCCUUCCAAAUUCUAUUCUAUUCUAGACUAGAAGAAACUUCUUUUUCUUUUUUAAAAUAAUUUAUGUUUUCAGUCUCUUUACAUCUCAAUCACAGCCCCCUCCCUCCUGCCUUCUCAGACUUACCCUUACAAAUCCCUUCUCCCAUUAUAUCCUGGGAGAUCUAGUACUGACAAGACUAGACAUAUCCUCUCCUGCCACCAAAGCAAUCUUUACAGGGGGAAGGGGAUCCAGUUGCAGGGAACAGACACCAAGAUAGCUCCCAUUCCACUUGUAAUUGAUUUAUUUGAAGACUAAGAUGCACAUUGCUAUAAGUGUAUAUGGUGUCUAGUUCUAUCUCUCUCUUCAUGCCCUCUGGUUGGUGGUCCAGGCUCUAUGAGCCUCCAUAGUCCCAGGUUAGUUGACUCUGUGGGUCUUCUUGUGGUGUCUUCGAUCCCUCCAGCUUGUUCACUUCUGUCUCCCACUCUUCCCCAUGACUCUCCAAGCUUGGCCUGAUGGUUGUCUGUGGGUCUCUACAUCUGCCUUCAUCCACUGCUAGGUGAAACCUGUCAGCAGACAGCUAUGCUAGGUUCAUGUCUUCAAGCAUAGCAGGGUAUCAUGGAUAGUGUUGGGUUUGCUACCUUACAUGGGAUAAGUCUUGAGUUGAGGCAGUCAUUGGUUGAAAGUUGCCUGAGUCUCUGAUCCAACUUUCUUCUUGCACAUCUUUGUAGGCAAGGCUGGCCAAAUGAGAUAUCCCCACUGGUACAAUCACGGAGCAAAUGUCAAUUAGUUUGUCUUGAUGCCUGAUUUAUCAGCUAUAAUCUACAGUUAGCAUCAUGGUCAAUCCUAAGAAUCUAUAUGUGUUUUUGAUCUCAGAAGCACUCCCGUGCAUGCAUACAUGCAUGCACAACCCCCCUAACAAACAUUAAAAAAUAUACUGGUAAAAUUUUGAUCU